RNAcentral lists this ribosomal RNA (399 nucleotides) under uncultured bacterium. Its description in RNAcentral is "bacterial SSU rRNA". It matches the Rfam family "Bacterial small subunit ribosomal RNA", at positions 30 to 425 of the family's 1533-position model. The record is from RNAcentral.
AUUGAACGCUAGCGGCAUGCUUAACACAUGCAAGUCGAACGGUAACAGGUCUAGCUUGCUAGAUGCUGACGAGUGGCGGACGGGUGAGUAACGCGUAGGAAUCUGCCCUGUAGUGGAGGAUAACUUGGGGAAACUCAAGCUAAUACUGCAUAUGUCCUUCGGGAUAAAGCGUGGGACCUUCGGGCCACGUGCUAUGGGAUGAGCCUGCGUCAGAUUAGCUUGUUGGUGGGGUAAAGGCCUACCAAGGCGAUGAUCUGUAGCUGUUCUGAGAGGAAGAUCAGCCACACUGGGACUGAGACACGGCCCAGACUCCUACGGGAGGCAGCAGUGGGGAAUAUUGGACAAUGGGGGCAACCCUGAUCCAGCAAUGCCGCGUGUGUGAAGAAGGCCUGCGGGUUU